GUCUAUGGCCAUGCCACCCUGAACGAGCCUAAUCCCAUCUGAUCUUGGAAGCUAAACAGGGUUGGGCCUGGUUAGUACUUGGAUCGGAGACCACCUAGAAAGACCAGGUGCUAUAGGUG
RNAcentral lists this ribosomal RNA (119 nucleotides) under Pteropus alecto (black flying fox). Lineage: Eukaryota; Metazoa; Chordata; Mammalia; Chiroptera; Pteropodidae. The record is from RNAcentral.